GAGUUUGAUCAUGGCUCAGAUUGAACGCUGGCGGCAUGCCUUACACAUGCAAGUCGAACGGCAGCACGGGAGCUUGCUCCUGGUGGCGAGUGGCGAACGGGUGAGUAAUGCAUCGGAACGUAUCCUGGAGUGGGGGAUAACGUGGCGAAAGUUACGCUAAUACCGCAUAUUCUGUGAGCAGGAAAGCGGGGGACCUUCGGGCCUCGCGCUCUUGGAGCGGCCGAUGUCGGAUUAGCUAGUUGGUGAGGUAAAGGCUCACCAAGGCGACGAUCCGUAGCAGGUCUGAGAGGAUGAUCUGCCACACUGGAACUGAGACACGGUCCAGACUCCUACGGGAGGCAGCAGUGGGGAAUUUUGGACAAUGGGGGCAACCCUGAUCCAGCCAUGCCGCGUGAGUGAAGAAGGCCUCGGUU
Molecule: ribosomal RNA, 413 nt
Filed under: bacterium enrichment culture clone ALO1_GLFRUDD03GUU44
Lineage: Bacteria
Description: bacterial SSU rRNA
Rfam family: Bacterial small subunit ribosomal RNA
Source: RNAcentral